RNAcentral lists this ribosomal RNA (253 nucleotides) under bacterium. Its description in RNAcentral is "partial 16S ribosomal RNA". It matches the Rfam family "Bacterial small subunit ribosomal RNA", at positions 524 to 776 of the family's 1533-position model. RNAcentral also lists the same sequence under 2 other names. The record is from RNAcentral.
UACAGAGGGUGCGAGCGUUAAUCGGAAUGACUGGGCGUAAAGGGUGCGUAGGUGGCUGUUUAAGUGCGUUGUGAAAGCCCUGGGCUUAACCUGGGAACGGCACCGCAUACUGGGCAGCUAGAGUGGUUGAGAGGGUAGUGGAAUUUCCGGUGUAGCGGUGAAAUGCGUAGAGAUCGGAAAGAACACCAGUGGCGAAGGCGACUACCUGGCAACACACUGACACUGAGGCACGAAAGCGUGGGGAUCAAACAGG